UCGCAGCCAAUUAAGCCAACUGUGCUCUUUUCCCCAUGGGGGCCCAGUGUGCAAUGGCUGCAGAUAGCAGCCUCCUUGGUAGUGUAUGCAACCUGUUGCCUGUACAGGUUGCCCUAAGGGACCUUGGAGACAACU
Molecule: small nucleolar RNA, 135 nt
Organism: Bos grunniens (domestic yak)
Lineage: Eukaryota; Metazoa; Chordata; Mammalia; Artiodactyla; Bovidae
Gene: SNORA70
Rfam family: Small nucleolar RNA SNORA70
About the family: snoRNA U70 seems to be exclusive to mammals and is a member of the H/ACA class of snoRNA which contain H (ANANNA) and ACA box motifs. H/ACA box snoRNAs are involved in the conversion of uridines to pseudouridines (5-ribosyluracil) a constituent of structural RNAs (transfer, ribosomal, small nuclear, and small nucleolar).
Source: Ensembl